GCUGGGCGUGGUGGCGCAUGCCUGUAAUCCCAGCUACUCGGGAGGCUGAGGCAGGAGAAUCGCUUGAACCUGGGAGGCGGAGGUUGCAGUGAGCCGAGAUCACACCACUGCACUCCAGCCUGGGUGACAGAGCCAGACUCUGUCUUUU
RNAcentral lists this non-coding RNA (148 nucleotides) under Pan paniscus (pygmy chimpanzee). RNAcentral also lists the same sequence under 1 other name. The record is from Rfam by way of RNAcentral. Lineage: Eukaryota; Metazoa; Chordata; Mammalia; Primates; Hominidae.